Molecule: ribosomal RNA, 433 nt
Filed under: uncultured bacterium
Lineage: Bacteria
Description: partial 16S ribosomal RNA
Rfam family: Bacterial small subunit ribosomal RNA
Source: RNAcentral
AACGAACGCUGGCGGCAUGCCUAACACAUGCAAGUCGAACGAGACCUUCGGGUCUAGUGGCGCACGGGUGCGUAACGCGUGGGAACCUGCCCUUAGGUUCGGAAUAACUCCCCGAAAGGGGUGCUACUACCGGAUAAUGUCUUCGGACCAAAGAUUUAUCGCCAUUGGAUGGGCCCGCGUUGGAUUAGCUAGUUGGUAGGGUAAAAGCCUACCAAGGCGACGAUCCAUAGCUGGUCUGAGAGGAUGAUCAGCCACACUGGGACUGGGACACGGCCCAGACUCCUACGGGAGGCAGCAGUGGGGAAUAUUGGACAAUGGGCGAAAGCCUGAUCCAGCAAUGCCGCGUGAGUGAUGAAGGCCUUAGGGUUGUAAAGCUCUUUUACCCGGGAUGAUAAUGACAGUACCGGGAGAAUAAGCUCCGGCUAACUCCGUG